This 914-nucleotide ribosomal RNA is filed under the name uncultured archaeon. RNAcentral describes it as "bacterial SSU rRNA". It matches the Rfam family "Archaeal small subunit ribosomal RNA", at positions 1 to 903 of the family's 1478-position model. The record is from RNAcentral.
UUCCGGUUGAUCCUGCCGGACCUGACUGCUAUUGGAGUGGGACUAAGUCACGCUAGUCAAAGGUGCGGAAUGGAGCACCUGGCGUACGGCUCAGUAACACGUAGUCAACCUGCCCUAAGGACGAGGACAACCACGGGAAACUGUGGAUAAUACUCGAUAAGAAAUUCGGCCUGGAACGGUGUCUUUCAUAAAACCGGCUCGCCGUGAGACACGGGCCUUAGGAUGGGGCUGCGGCCGAUUAUGCUAGAUGGCGGUGUAAAGGACCACCAUGGCUACGAUCGGUAUGGGCGAUGGAAGUCGGAGCCCAGAGUCGGCUACUGAGACAAGGAGCCGAGCUUUACGAAGCUUAGCGGUCGCGAAAACUCGCCAAUGUACGAAAGUGUGAGUGGGCUACUCCAAGUGUCAUUCUUACGGAUGACUGUCGCUCAGUCUUACCAGCUGAGAAAGGAAGGAGAGGGCAAGGCUGGUGCCGGCCGCCGCGGUAAAACCAGCUCUUCGAGUGGUCAGGACGAAUAUUGGGUCUAAAGCGCUCGUAGCCGGACAAGCAGGUUCUUGGUUAAACCCGACAGCAUAACUGUUGGCCUGCUGGGAAUACCGCUAGCCUUGGAAGCGGAAGAGGACAGAGGUAGUCAUAGGGCAGGGGUGAAAUCCAGUGAUCCUAUGGCGACCACCGAUGGCGAAGGCAUCUGUCUGGAACGUAUUCGACGGUGAGGGGCGAAAGCUAGGGGAGCGACCCGGGAUUAGAUACCCGGUUAGUCCUAGCCGUAAACGAUGCGGACUAUGUGUUACAGCGGCCAAGAGCCACUGUAGUGCCACAGCGAAGGCGUUAAGUCCGCCACCUGGGGAGUACGGAUGCAAGUCUGAAACUUAAAGGAAUUGACGGGGGCGCACCACCAGGAGUGAAGCUGCGUUUA